This 491-nucleotide long non-coding RNA is filed under the name Homo sapiens (human). RNAcentral describes it as "HSALNT0326031". The record is from RNAcentral. Lineage: Eukaryota; Metazoa; Chordata; Mammalia; Primates; Hominidae.
ACUCCCUCCCACACACCCAGGAGCUCCAGCCUGUUAUGGGAUGGGCAUCCUACCAGGAACCAAGGAUGCUAAGCUGAAGACAACCAUCAAGGCAUUUUUUCCCAAAAAGCACAGAAGGAGAUUCAAUCAUCAAAUGAGAGGCCUCACUCACCUCUGCAUAUUGGCCCUUAUCCUUUGAAAGAGAAUAAAGUAACAGCUGCUAUUCUUUCAGCCAAGAAAGGGCCACUGGAACAGGUCCAGAAGGAAAGAAAAGAGUGAUGGCAACUGCUGAUUCAAGAAGAUUGUUCUGUUUCAGUUUUUAUUUUAUUUUAGAUGUACCCCUUCUCCACAAUGAGUUUCUCAUACACGCAUCUAAUGAAAGACGCCUGUUCUCAACCCUCCUAGAAUUUCAAGAUGGGCAAACUUACAAGGAAAGCAAGGAUGAGUGCUAAUAUGUACCAUAUUCAUGUGAAUAUAAGUUUUUUUAAUAAGAAAAUCAAACUCUAAAAAUA